This 253-nucleotide ribosomal RNA is filed under the name uncultured bacterium. RNAcentral describes it as "partial 16S ribosomal RNA". It matches the Rfam family "Bacterial small subunit ribosomal RNA", at positions 524 to 776 of the family's 1533-position model. The record is from RNAcentral.
UACGAAGGGUGCGAGCGUUGUCCGGAAUCACUGGGCGUAAAGGGCGCGUAGGCGGCCCCGUGCGCGUGCCGUGAAAGCCCGGGGCUCAACCCCGGGUCGGCGGUGCGGACGGCGGGGCUGGAGCACGUCAGGGGCAGGCGGAAUUCCGGGUGUAGCGGUGGAAUGCGUAGAGAUCCGGAAGAACACCGGUGGCGAAGGCGGCCUGCUGGGACGUGGCUGACGCUGAGGCGCGACAGCGUGGGGAGCAAACAGG